This 401-nucleotide unclassified non-coding RNA is filed under the name soil metagenome. RNAcentral's name for it is "partial contains 5.8S ribosomal RNA, internal transcribed spacer 2, and large subunit ribosomal RNA". The stretch from base 1 to 121 matches the Rfam family "5.8S ribosomal RNA", at positions 35 to 154 of the family's 154-position model. The record is from RNAcentral.
GAUGAAGAACGUAGUGAAAUGCGAUAAGUAAUGUGAAUUGCAGAAUUCAGUGAAUCAUCGAAUCUUUGAACGCACCUUGCGCCCUUUGGCCAUUCCGAAGGGCAUGCCUGUUUGAGUAUCAUGAACACCUCAACUCUCAUGGCUCGCCAUGAUGAGCUUGGAUUUGGGGGUCUUGCUGGCCUGUGGUCGGCUCCUCUCAAAUGGAUCAGCUUGCCAGUGUUUGGUGGCAUCACAGGUGUGAUAACUAUCUGCGCUUGUGGUUUUCUGCCAGAUAACCUUCAGUGAUGGAGGUUCGCUGGAGCUUAUAAAUGUCUCUCCCCAGUGAGGACAGCUUUUUGAACGUUUGAUCUCAAAUCAGGUAGGACUACCCGCUGAACUUAAGCAUAUCAAUAAGCGGAGGA